AGUGAACGCUGGCGGCGUGCUUAACACAUGCAAGUCGAACGCGAAAGGGGAGCAAUCCCCGAGUAGAGUGGCGAACGGGUGAGUAAUGUGUGGGUAAUUUGCCUUUCAGCGGGGGAUAACCCGGGGAAACCUGAGCUAAUACCCCAUAACAUGACCUGGUCUUCGGAUCGAGUCAUCAAACGAUGGCCUCUGCUUGCAAGCUAUUGCUGGAAGAUGAGCCCACANCCUAUCACGCUUGUUGGUGGGUAAUGGCCUACCAAGGCGACGACGGGUAGCCGGCCUGAGAGGGUGUACGGCCACACUGGAACUGAGACACGGUCCAGACUCCUACGGGAGGCAGCAGUGGGGAAUUUUUCGCAAUGGGCGAAAGCCUGACGAAGCAACGCCGCGUGUAGGAUGAAGGCCCUA
Molecule: ribosomal RNA, 408 nt
Filed under: uncultured bacterium
Lineage: Bacteria
Description: bacterial SSU rRNA
Rfam family: Bacterial small subunit ribosomal RNA
Source: RNAcentral